GACGAACGCUGGCGGCGUGCCUAACACAUGCAAGUCGAGCGGGGUCCAACCGGUAGCAAUACCGGUGAAGACCUAGCGGCGAACGGGUGAGUAACACGUGAGAAACCUGCCCCGAAGACCGGGAUAAGCCGAGGAAACUCGGUCUAAUACCGGAUACCCCCAUCUGACCGCAUGAUCGGAUGAGGAAAUGGUUUUUUUCGCUUUGGGAGGGUCUCGCGGCCUAUCAGUUUGUUGGUGAGGUAACGGCUCACCAAGACUAUGACGGGUAGCUGGUCUGAGAGGACGAUCAGCCACACUGGGACUGAGACACGGCCCAGACUCCUACGGGAGGCAGCAGUGGGGAAUCUUGCGCAAUGGGCGAAAGCCUGACGCAGCAACGCCGCGUGGGGGACGACGGCUUUCGGGUUGUAAACCCCUUUCAGCAGGGACGAAAAUGACGGUACCUGCAGAAGAAGCUCCGGCCAACUACGUG
Molecule: ribosomal RNA, 472 nt
Filed under: uncultured bacterium
Lineage: Bacteria
Description: bacterial SSU rRNA
Rfam family: Bacterial small subunit ribosomal RNA
Source: RNAcentral